RNAcentral lists this ribosomal RNA (498 nucleotides) under uncultured bacterium. RNAcentral's name for it is "bacterial SSU rRNA". It matches the Rfam family "Bacterial small subunit ribosomal RNA", at positions 8 to 526 of the family's 1533-position model. The record is from RNAcentral.
AGAGUUUGAUCCUGGCUCAGAAUGAACGUUGGCGGCGUGGAUUAGGCAUGCAAGUCGAACGGGCCUAGCAAUAGGUCAGUGGCGGAAGGGUGAGUAAGGCGACGGUAACCAACCCCAUGGUCGGGCAUAGCCGCGGGAAACUGCGGGUAAUUCUCGGCGACGCGGCGGAUCGGCAUCGGUCUGCCGCCAAAGCUCCGGCGCCGUGGGACGGGCCGUCGUGGUAUUAGCUAGUUGGCGGGGUGAUGGCCCACCACGGCUGUGAUGCCUACCGGGCGUGCGAGCGUGGCCCGGCACACUGGGACUGAGACACUGCCCAGACUCCUACGGGAGGCUGCAGUCGAGAAUCUUCGGCAAUGGGCGCAAGCCUGACCGAGCGACGCCGCGUGGAGGACGAAGGCCUUCGGGUUGUAAACUCCUGUCGAGGGGGAGGAAGGGGCAACCUUGACCGAUCCCUGGAGGAAGCACGGGCUAAGUUCGUGCCAGCAGCCGCGGUAAUAC